UAAUACGGAGGGUGCAAGCGUUAUCCGGAUUCACUGGGUUUAAAGGGUGCGUAGGUGGGCAGGUAAGUCAGUGGUGAAAUCUCCGGGCUUAACCCGGAAACUGCCGUUGAUACUAUCUGUCUUGAAUGUAGUGGAGGUGAGCGGAAUAUGUCAUGUAGCGGUGAAAUGCUUAGAUAUGACAUAGAACACCCAUUGCGAAGGCAGCUCGCUACACUAUUAUUGACACUGAGGCACGAAAGCGUGGGGAUCAAACAGGAUUAGAUACCCUGGUAGUCCACGCCCUAAACGAUGGAUACUCGACAUCAGCGAUACACAGUUGGUGUCUGAGCGAAAGCAUUAAGUAUCCCACCUGGGAAGUACGACCGCAAGGUU
Molecule: ribosomal RNA, 372 nt
Filed under: uncultured bacterium
Lineage: Bacteria
Description: bacterial SSU rRNA
Rfam family: Bacterial small subunit ribosomal RNA
Source: RNAcentral